GGUGCGAUACCCAAGUGGUUAAGGGGACGGUCUGCAAAACCGUUAUGCGCAGGUUCGAUUCCUGCUCGCACCUCCA
RNAcentral lists this transfer RNA (76 nucleotides) under Elusimicrobiota bacterium. RNAcentral describes it as "Elusimicrobia bacterium (groundwater metagenome) tRNA-Cys". It matches the Rfam family "tRNA". Rfam says of the family: Transfer RNA (tRNA) molecules are approximately 80 nucleotides in length. Their secondary structure includes four short double-helical elements and three loops (D, anti-codon, and T loops). The record is from RNAcentral. Lineage: Bacteria; Pseudomonadati; Elusimicrobiota.